Molecule: non-coding RNA, 331 nt
Organism: Paramuricea clavata
Lineage: Eukaryota; Metazoa; Cnidaria; Anthozoa; Malacalcyonacea; Plexauridae
Source: the annotation of a GenBank genome assembly
UAUAGACUUGCUCCAAGUCUCUCUUUCAUUGUCAUAUAGUAUCGAUCCACUAUAGUGUACAUUACAUGACGUAGCACGGAGGGGCGGAGCGAGAAAGAGAGACCUGUCAACUUCGGAAAAUCUCGGUUCAAAACUGAACCGAAAAUGCAAGACUUGCUUUAAUUGUUUUCCUUCAAUUUCUUUAUGUAUUAUUUACUAUACUGAAUUCAUGUUAUUUACAUUGUGCUAGAUCAAUACAUAUAAAUACUGACAGAAAACAAUUAAAGCAAGUCUUGCAUUUUCGGUUCAGUUUUGAACCGAGAUUUUCCGAAGUUGACAAGUCUCUCUUUCU